RNAcentral lists this ribosomal RNA (253 nucleotides) under uncultured bacterium. Its description in RNAcentral is "partial 16S ribosomal RNA". It matches the Rfam family "Bacterial small subunit ribosomal RNA", at positions 524 to 776 of the family's 1533-position model. The record is from RNAcentral.
UACGGAGGGUGCGAGCGUUAUCCGGAAUUACUGGGUUUAAAGGGCGCGUAGGCGGCUAUGUAAGUCAGGAGUGAAAGUUUGCGGCUCAACCGUAAAAUUGCUUUUGAUACUGCAUGGCUGGAAUCAGGAUGAGGUCAGCGGAAUGUGGCAUGUAGCGGUGAAAUGCAUAGAUAUGCCAUAGAACACCAAUUGCGAAGGCAGGUUACUGGUAAUGGAUUGACGCUGAUGGACGAAAGCGUGGGGAGCGAACAGG